ACAUUGGGACUGAGACACGGCCCAAACUCCUACGGGAGGCAGCAGUAGGGAAUCUUCCACAAUGGGCGAAAGCCUGAUGGAGCAACGCCGCGUGGGUGAAGAAGGUCUUCGGAUCGUAAAACCCUGUUGUUAGAGAAGAAAGUGCGUGAGAGUAACUGUUCACGUUUCGACGGUAUCUAACCAGAAAGCCACGGCUAACUACGUGCCAGCAGCCGCGGUAAUACGUAGGUGGCAAGCGUUAUCCGGAUUUAUUGGGCGUAAAGGGAACGCAGGCGGUCUUUUAAGUCUGAUGUGAAAGCCUUCGGCUUAACCGGAGUAGUGCAUUGGAAACUGGGAGACUUGAGUGCAGAAGAGGAGAGUGGAACUCCAUGUGUAGCGGUGAAAUGCGUAGAUAUAUGGAAGAACACCAGUGGCGAAAGCGGCUCUCUGGUCUGUAACUGACGCUGAGGUUCGAAAGCGUGGGUAGCAAACAGGAUUAGAUACCCUGGUAGUCCACGCCGUAAACGAUGAAUGCUAAGUGUUGGAGGGUUUCCGCCCUUCA
RNAcentral lists this ribosomal RNA (541 nucleotides) under uncultured bacterium. RNAcentral describes it as "bacterial SSU rRNA". It matches the Rfam family "Bacterial small subunit ribosomal RNA", at positions 310 to 842 of the family's 1533-position model. The record is from RNAcentral.